Molecule: transfer-messenger RNA, 375 nt
Filed under: Clostridiaceae bacterium
Lineage: Bacteria; Bacillati; Bacillota; Clostridia; Eubacteriales; Clostridiaceae
Also listed under: 5 other names
Rfam family: transfer-messenger RNA
About the family: Bacterial tmRNA, also known as 10Sa RNA or SsrA, is named for its dual tRNA and mRNA-like properties. Its role is to liberate the mRNA from a stalled ribosome. To accomplish this part of the tmRNA is used as a reading frame that ends in a translation stop signal.
Source: RNAcentral
GGGGGUGUACUGGUUUCGACGGGGUCGUUGAGAUCAGGAAAGCGGGUGGAGGAUUCUCGUUUGCCUCCUUAAAAAACGGGAAAUGCAAGUAAUUGCAGACAAUACACAGUUAGUAGCUGCUUAAUAUAGCUACCGCCUAGGUGUUAUAUCUGCGUGAUACUAAUAGGCGCCAUUUGCAGACCUUAUCGGAUAGAGGAUAAUCCGAACAACCUCAUUAGGAAAGCUUUGACCUUAUGUUGUAUUUAUGAAGCUACCGGCGCUAUCGUCUGUCUUUGGACUUAAUAGCAAGGGGAAUACUUUAAACAUAGACUGCACCCGGAGAAGUCCUGAAGGAUAUGGUUUCGGACAUGGGUUCGAUUCCCAUCACCUCCACCA